RNAcentral lists this unclassified non-coding RNA (207 nucleotides) under plant metagenome. RNAcentral's name for it is "partial contains small subunit ribosomal RNA and internal transcribed spacer 1". The stretch from base 1 to 46 matches the Rfam family "Eukaryotic small subunit ribosomal RNA", at positions 1786 to 1831 of the family's 1831-position model. The record is from RNAcentral.
AAGUCGUAACAAGGUUUCCGUAGGUGAACCUGCGGAAGGAUCACUAAAGAGAACUGCCUUCGGGCUAAUCUCCCACCCUUUGUUUACAUUACCUUUGUUGCUUUGGCAGGCCCGUCUUCGGACCGCUGGCUUCGGCUAGUCCGUGCCUGCCAGAGGACCCCAAACUCAUAUUAUUUAUGUCGUCUGAGUACUAUAUAAUAGUUAAAA